AGAGUUUGAUCAUGGCUCAGGACGAACGCUGGCGGCGCGCCUAACACAUGCAAGUCGAACGGAGCUUAGAGAGCUUGCUUUUUAAGCUUAGUGGCGAACGGGUGAGUAACGCGUGAGUAACCUGCCCUAGAGUGGGGGACAACAGUUGGAAACGACUGCUAAUACCGCAUAAGCCCACGGUACCGCAUGGCACUGAGGGAAAAGGAUUUAUUCGCUUUAGGAUGGACUCGCGUCCAAUUAGCUAGUUGGUGAGGUAACGGCCCACCAAGGCGACGAUUGGUAGCCGGACUGAGAGGUUGAACGGCCACAUUGGGACUGAGACACGGCCCAGACUCCUACGGGAGGCAGCAGUGGGGGAUAUUGCACAAUGGGGGAAACCCUGAUGCAGCGACGCCGCGUGGAGGAAGAAGGUUUUCGGAUUGUAAACUCCUGUCGUUAGGGACGAUAAUGACGGUACCUAACAAGAAAGCACCGGCUAACUACGUGCCAGCAGCCGCGGUAAAACGUAGGGUGCAAGCGUUGUCCGGAAUUACUGGGUGUAAAGGGAGCGCAGGCGGGAAGACAAGUUGGAAGUGAAAACCAUGGGCUCAACCCAUGAAUUGCUUUCAAAACUGUUUUUCUUGAGUAGUGCAGAGGUAGAUGGAAUUCCCGGUGUAGCGGUGGAAUGCGUAGAUAUCGGGAGGAACACCAGUGGCGAAGGCGGUCUACUGGGCACCAACUGACGCUGAGGCUCGAAAGCAUGGGUAGCAAACAGGAUUAGAUACCCUGGUAGUCCAUGCCGUAAACGAUGAUUACUAGGUGUUGGGGGAUUGACCCCCUCAGUGCCGCAGUUAACACAAUAAGUAAUCCACCUGGGGAGUACGACCGCAAGGUUGAAACUCAAAGGAAUUGACGGGGGCCCGCACAAGCAGUGGAGUAUGUGGUUUAAUUCGAAGCAACGCGAGGAACCUUACCUGCUCUUGACAUCUCCCUGACCGGCAAGUAAUGUUGCCUUUCCUUCGGGACAGGGAUGACAGGUGGUGCAUGGUUGUCGUCAGCUCGUGUCGUGAGAUGUUGGGUUAAGUCCCGCAACGAGCGCAACCCCUAUCUUUAGUAGCCAGCGGUUUGGCCGGGCACUCUAGAGAGACUGCCAGGGAUAACCUGGAGGAAGGUGGGGAUGACGUCAAAUCAUCAUGCCCCUUAUGAGCAGGGCUACACACGUGCUACAAUGGCGUAAACAAAGGGAGGCAGAACCGCGAGGUCGAGCAAAUCCCAAAAAUAACGUCUCAGUUCGGAUUGUAGUCUGCAACUCGACUACAUGAAGCUGGAAUCGCUAGUAAUCGCGAAUCAGAAUGUCGCGGUGAAUACGUUCCCGGGUCUUGUACACACCGCCCGUCACACCAUGGGAGUCAGUAACGCCCGAAGUCAGUGACCCAACCGUAAGGAGGGAGCUGCCGAAGGUGGGACCGAUAACUGGGGUGAAGUCGUAACAAGGUA
RNAcentral lists this ribosomal RNA (1476 nucleotides) under metagenome. Its description in RNAcentral is "bacterial SSU rRNA". It matches the Rfam family "Bacterial small subunit ribosomal RNA". The record is from RNAcentral.